This 224-nucleotide ribosomal RNA is filed under the name uncultured soil bacterium. Its description in RNAcentral is "partial 16S ribosomal RNA". It matches the Rfam family "Bacterial small subunit ribosomal RNA", at positions 26 to 252 of the family's 1533-position model. The record is from RNAcentral.
AGAUUGAACGCUGGCGGCAUGCCUUACACAUGCAAGUCGAACGGCAGCACGGGAGCAAUCCUGGUGGCGAGUGGCGAACGGGUGAGUAAUACAUCGGAACGUGCCCAAUCGUGGGGGAUAACGCAGCGAAAGCUGUGCUAAUACCGCAUAAGAUCUACGGAUGAAAGCAGGGGAUCGACAAGACCUUGCGCGAAUGGAGCGGCGAUGGCAGAUUAGGUAGUUGG